GAUCCAGCUGUCAGUGAUCCAGCUGCCAGGGCUCUAACUGUCAAUGCUUCAGUACUGGAUGGAAAUACAAGUCCUCAAACACGCCGUAACCUUGUCAUCAUGGCCGCCAGUUCUCCCGUUGUGGUCGUGAUACUCUUCUAUGCAAUAGCCCGGGGAUGUGGUGCAACGAACAGCGAAAUCUUAGUAUGUCUUGCUCUAUGCUGUUAUCUCAGAGCGGUAUGAUGUCAGCUGCUUCAAAUUACUGAAUAAAAGGGUUUGGUCUUUGCUCUUUGGGUAUUAAAUAUUUUUUAUUCAUCCUGUGUUUUAAAUAUAUACUAUCUUUUAGCACACUUGUUAUAUCUGUC
Long non-coding RNA from Oreochromis aureus, 344 nucleotides. The record is from Ensembl. NCBI's taxonomy places the organism in Eukaryota, Metazoa, Chordata, Actinopteri, Cichliformes, Cichlidae.